Molecule: long non-coding RNA, 1395 nt
Filed under: Marmota monax (woodchuck)
Lineage: Eukaryota; Metazoa; Chordata; Mammalia; Rodentia; Sciuridae
Source: RNAcentral
ACCUUUGUAUUUUAAAAAAAUGAUCAAAUCUUUUAGUCUUGCAGGCAAAUGUCCCCUGACCUAGAGGAUGAAUUUCAAGACAAAAAGUGUCCCCAGCUGGCCCCUUCCAUUGUUCCAUAUCUGGCCACCAGUCCAACGUCUUGCCUCUUUUCUUCCUGAGGCCCAGUGGCCUCUGUGGUCACUGUAGCCUGAAAUGGUUCACAGAAUCCAGCAGUAGGGCAAGGCUAAACUCCUUAUACCAUCUGUUAACUUUCCAUUCUUCAAAAGAAUUGUGGCCAUAAGAGCAUUGUAAAGAGAGGUUGUUUGAAAACUCAGCCCUGAGUGCAUCCAUGCUUGCUUAAUCCACCAGGGGCUGCCAUUGCUCUCAGGAUCCUGACAGGUCCCUGGUGGUGUCUACCAGGCUCAGCCUGUGCCCCUCCUGUCGUUCACUUCUGAGUGCUCUUGACCCCCUGAACCGGCAGCUCCUCAGAACUUGCUGUUCCUGCUUCCUGCACACUGUUCCCUCUCCUCCUUCCCUCUUCCCAUUGGGUCUUUUCAUUGCAUCUGGGCUGCUUAGAUAGCACUGUGACGUACCUUGAUGUGAGUCUGUUUGAUCUGUCUAGUCUCCUGUCCUUCCAUUCUGGGACAUCUUUUUGCAUUAUUUCAUUUAUUUCCGCCCCCUCCCCACCAUGUUUUUUUUUCUUGCUGUAUUUUCUUGUACUCAAAAUGUUGGACCUUUGGUUGUCAAAUUUUCUCUUUUCCCCCAUUUACUUAUUCAUUCUACUCUUUGAAUAAUUCCCAAAGUAUAUCUUCUAAGCCUUCUGUGGCUUUCAUUUCUGCUACCAUAGUUUUAAUUUCCAAAAGAUUUUUUUUUUAUUACUUCUUUUAAAAAUAGCAUCCUGUACUUGUUUCAUGAGCAUGGUAUGGUGCUGCUCUUCUCUAAGACUGUUAAUAGUGGUUGUUUUCUUCUUCCCCCCAUUGUUUCUUCCCACUUAGGUUGUUUGGGUCAGUUUUCCACAUUGGACACUUUCCAUAGGUGUCCACUGAUCAUUGGCUGCUUGCUCCAAGGUCAGUGUAGCACUUAGAGAGAAGAGGAGAAAGAACAUCAAGAUCAGGGGUCUUAAUGCCCAUGAUCUUCACCUUGUAUACUGGUAUCUUUAGGUCAUUUAUUUUGACUCUCAGUUCCCCAGAGCCCCCAGAUGGACUCCUGUUGGAGGCUGGGCCUGGCCCCUUUGACUCUGAGAUCCCUGGAGGCAGAGAAAAAAGGCUACACCGUGGAGUGCAGGGUAAGGCCUUCCCUGUGUACACUCUGGGCCUCUGCCCCGCGGUGCCUUAGGGUCUCAAGAUCCUGUGAUUACUCUGCGAGGUUGAAGUCCCUGUCUUUUCCCAGAUUCUGCAGUGUCAGGCCAACAUGCU